Molecule: ribosomal RNA, 435 nt
Filed under: uncultured bacterium
Lineage: Bacteria
Description: partial 16S ribosomal RNA
Rfam family: Bacterial small subunit ribosomal RNA
Source: RNAcentral
CCCUCCCUCUUUCUUCAUGCCUAACACAUGCAAGUCGAACGAUUGCCUUCGGGUGAUAGUGGCGCACGGGUGCGUAACGCGUGGGAAUCUGCCCUUAGGUUCGGAAUAACAGCUGGAAACGGCUGCUAAUACCGGAUGAUAUCGCGAGAUCAAAGAUUUAUCGCCUGAGGAUGAGCCCGCGUUGGAUUAGGUAGUUGGUGGGUUAAAGGCCUACCAAGCCGACGAUCCAUAGCUGGUCUGAGAGGAUGAUCAGCCACACUGGGACUGAGACACGGCCCAGACUCCUACGGGAGGCAGCAGUGGGGAAUAUUGGACAAUGGGCGCAAGCCUGAUCCAGCAAUGCCGCGUGAGUGAUGAAGGCCCUAGGGUUGUAAAGCUCUUUUACCCGGGAAGAUAAUGACGGUACCGGGAGAAUAAGCCCCGGCUAACUCCGUG